Molecule: long non-coding RNA, 130 nt
Organism: Gavialis gangeticus (Gharial)
Lineage: Eukaryota; Metazoa; Chordata; Crocodylia; Gavialidae
Exons: 3
Source: RefSeq, a predicted model, not a curated record
GCUACAUACUUCCUAAAGUGCAGCUCCCAGAACUGGACACAGUACUCCAGCUGUGGCCUGACCAGUGUUGCGUACAGGGGCAGGAUCACCUCCUAGGAUCUGCUCAUGAUGCAUUUAUAGCACUGGUGAU